Molecule: ribosomal RNA, 419 nt
Filed under: Escherichia coli
Lineage: Bacteria; Pseudomonadati; Pseudomonadota; Gammaproteobacteria; Enterobacterales; Enterobacteriaceae
Description: partial 23S ribosomal RNA
Rfam family: Bacterial large subunit ribosomal RNA
Source: RNAcentral
CCGGCGAUUUCCGAAUGGGGAAACCCAGUGUGUUUCGACACACUAUCAUUAACUGAAUCCAUAGGUUAAUGAGGCGAACCGGGGGAACUGAAACAUCUAAGUACCCCGAGGAAAAGAAAUCAACCGAGAUUCCCCCAGUAGCGGCGAGCGAACGGGGAGGAGCCCAGAGCCUGAAUCAGUGUGUGUGUUAGUGGAAGCGUCUGGAAAGGCGCGCGAUACAGGGUGACAGCCCCGUACACAAAAAUGCACAUAUUGUGAGCUCGAUGAGUAGGGCGGGACACGUGGUAUCCUGUCUGAAUAUGGGGGGACCAUCCUCCAAGGCUAAAUACUCCUGACUGACCGAUAGUGAACCAGUACCGUGAGGGAAAGGCGAAAAGAACCCCGGCGAGGGGAGUGAAAAAGAACCUGAAACCGUGUAC